CUGAUACUCUCUCCGUUUCAUAAUUCUUGUCUCAAAUUUGCCCAAAAAUGGAUGUAUCUAUUACUAAAAAAACGUCUAGAUACAUGUAAUAUUUUGACAAGAAUUAUGGAACGGAGGAAGUAAAAU
Molecule: non-coding RNA, 126 nt
Organism: Brachypodium distachyon (stiff brome)
Lineage: Eukaryota; Viridiplantae; Streptophyta; Magnoliopsida; Poales; Poaceae
Source: Rfam